This 460-nucleotide ribosomal RNA is filed under the name uncultured bacterium. RNAcentral describes it as "partial 16S ribosomal RNA". It matches the Rfam family "Bacterial small subunit ribosomal RNA", at positions 338 to 795 of the family's 1533-position model. The record is from RNAcentral.
CCUACGGGAGGCAGCAGUGAGGAAUAUUGGUCAAUGGACGCGAGUCUGAACCAGCCAAGUAGCGUGAAGGAUGACUGCCCUAUGGGUUGUAAACUUCUUUUAUAUGGGAAUAAAAUGUUCCACGUGUGGGUUUUUGUAUGUACCUUAUGAAUAAGGAUCGGCUAACUCCGUGCCAGCAGCCGCGGUAAUACGGAGGAUCCGAGCGUUAUCCGGAUUUAUUGGGUUUAAAGGGAGCGUAGGUGGGUUGUUAAGUCAGUUGUGAAAGUUUGCGGCUCAACCGUAAAAUUGCAGUUGAUACUGGCAGGCUUGAGUACAGUAGAGGUAGGCGGAAUUCGUGGUGUAGCGGUGAAAUGCUUAGAUAUCACGAAGAACUCCGAUUGCGAAGGCAGUUCACUGGACUGCAACUGACGCUGAGGCUCGAAAGUGUGGGUAUCAAACAGGAUUAGAUACCCGUGUAGUC